RNAcentral lists this ribosomal RNA (503 nucleotides) under uncultured bacterium. RNAcentral's name for it is "partial 16S ribosomal RNA". It matches the Rfam family "Bacterial small subunit ribosomal RNA", at positions 30 to 523 of the family's 1533-position model. The record is from RNAcentral.
AUUGAACGCGGGCGGCAGGCUUAACACAUGCAAGUCGAGCGGGGUGAUGGUGCUUGCACUAUCACUUAGCGGCGGACGGGUGAGUAAUGCUUAGGAAUCUGCCUAUUAGUGGGGGACAACAUCUCGAAAGGGAUGCUAAUACCGCAUACGUCCUACGGGAGAAAGCAGGGGAUCACUUGUGACCUUGCGCUAAUAGAUGAGCCUAAGUCGGAUUAGCUAGUUGGUGGGGUAAAGGCCUACCAAGGCGACGAUCUGUAGCGGGUCUGAGAGGAUGAUCCGCCACACUGGGACUGAGACACGGCCCAGACUCCUACGGGAGGCAGCAGUGGGGAAUACUGGACAAUGGGGGGAACCCUGAUCCAGCCAUGCCGCGUGUGUGAAGAAGGCCUUAUGGUUGUAAAGCACUUUAAGCGAGGAGGAGGCUCUUUUGGUUAAUACCCAAGAUGAGUGGACGUUACUCGCAGAAUAAGCACCGGCUAACUCUGUGCCAGCCGCCGCAGUAA